This 162-nucleotide ribosomal RNA is filed under the name uncultured bacterium. RNAcentral describes it as "partial 16S ribosomal RNA". It matches the Rfam family "Bacterial small subunit ribosomal RNA", at positions 1340 to 1500 of the family's 1533-position model. The record is from RNAcentral.
AAUGGCAGGUCAGCAUACUGCCGUGAAUACGUUCCCGGGCCCUUGUACACACCGCCCGUCACACCAUGAGAGUUGGAAAUACCCGAAGCCUGUGAGCUAACCGUAAGGAGGCAGCAGUCGAAGGUAGAGUCAAUGAUUGGGGUGAAGUCGUAACAAGGUAAC